GACGUAGGAUGCAAGCGUUGUCCGGAUUUAUUGGGCGUAAAGAGUUCGUAGGUGGUUCGUUAAGUCUGGUGUAAAAGACUGGGGCUCAACCCUGGGAUCGCACUGGAUACUGGCGGACUGGAGUGUGGUAGAGGCAAGCGGAAUUCCCAGUGUAGCGGUGGAAUGCGUAGAGAUCCGGAAGAACACCGGUGGCGAAGGCGGCCUGCUGGGCAGUUGCUGACACUGAGGCGCGACAGCGUGGGGAGCAAACAGG
This 253-nucleotide ribosomal RNA is filed under the name uncultured bacterium. Its description in RNAcentral is "partial 16S ribosomal RNA". It matches the Rfam family "Bacterial small subunit ribosomal RNA", at positions 524 to 776 of the family's 1533-position model. The record is from RNAcentral.